UACGGAGGGGGUUAGCGUUGUUCGGAAUUACUGGGCUUAAAGGGUGCGUAGGCGGCCCGUUAAGUCAGCGGUGAAAUCCCAGGGCUCAACCCUGGAACUGCCGUUGAUACUGACGGGCUUGAGUUCGGUCGAGGCGGGCGGAACUGGUGGUGUAGCGGUGAAAUGCUUAGAUACCACCAAGAACCCCGAUUGCGUAGGCAGCUCGCUGGGCCGAAACUGACGCUGAGGCACGAAAGCGUGGGGAGCGAACAGG
This 253-nucleotide unclassified non-coding RNA is filed under the name uncultured Hymenobacteraceae bacterium. RNAcentral's name for it is "contains 16S-23S intergenic spacer region". It matches the Rfam family "Bacterial small subunit ribosomal RNA", at positions 524 to 776 of the family's 1533-position model. The record is from RNAcentral. Lineage: Bacteria; Pseudomonadati; Bacteroidota; Cytophagia; Cytophagales; Hymenobacteraceae.